This 465-nucleotide ribosomal RNA is filed under the name uncultured bacterium. Its description in RNAcentral is "partial 16S ribosomal RNA". It matches the Rfam family "Bacterial small subunit ribosomal RNA", at positions 338 to 795 of the family's 1533-position model. The record is from RNAcentral.
CCUACGGGUGGCAGCAGUAGGGAAUCUUCCACAAUGGGCGAAAGCCUGAUGGAGCAACGCCGCGUGGGUGAAGAAGGUCUUCGGAUCGUAAAACCCUGUUGUUAGAGAAGAAAGUGCGUGAGAGUAACUGUUCACGUUUCGACGGUAUCUAACCAGAAAGCCACGGCUACCUACGUGCCAGCAGCCGCGGUAAUACGUAGGUGGCAAGCGUUAUCCGGAUUUUUUGGGCGUAAAGGUAACGCAGGCGGUCUUUUAAGUCUGAUGUGAAGUCCUUCGGCUUAACCGGAGUAGUGCAUUGGAAUCUGGGAGACUUGAGUGCAGAAGAGGAGAGUGGAACUCCAUGUGUAGCGGUGAAAUGCGUAGAUAUAUGGAAGAACACCAGUGGCGAAAGCGGCUCUCUGGUCUGUAACUGACGCUGAGGUUCGAAAGCGUGGGUAGCAAACAGGAUUAGAUACCCUUGUAGUC